AUGCUGCAGCAGAACAUAUACUAAAAAAUCAGAAUGAGACAGAGAAGAUGAGUAUGGCCCCUGCACAAGGGUGACAUGCAAAUUUGUGAAACUUUAUAUUUUUAA
Molecule: small nuclear RNA, 105 nt
Organism: Callithrix jacchus (white-tufted-ear marmoset)
Lineage: Eukaryota; Metazoa; Chordata; Mammalia; Primates; Cebidae
Source: Ensembl